Molecule: ribosomal RNA, 423 nt
Filed under: Rugitermes sp. PU990
Lineage: Eukaryota; Metazoa; Arthropoda; Insecta; Blattodea; Kalotermitidae
Description: partial large subunit ribosomal RNA
Source: RNAcentral
UCGCCUGUUUUNUCAAAAACAUCUCUUCUUGUUGUCUUUAUUUGAAGUACGGCCUGCCCACUGAUUUUUUGAAGGGCCGCGGUAUUUUGACCGUGCAAAGGUAGCAAAGUCAUUAGUUUUUUAAUUGUAAACUGGUAUGAAUGGCUUGACGAGGUACUUACUGUCUUUAUAAGAUUUAUUUGUAUUGAAUUUGGUUUUUGAGUAAAAAAACUUAAAUUUUUUUAUGGGACGAGAAGACCCUAUAGAGUUUUAUAUAAUUUUUUUCUUUUGUUAUUUUGGUUUGUUUUAUUGAAUUUGAUUUUAUUUUGUUGGGGUGAUGGGAAAGUAUAUAUAACCUUUCUUUUUUUUUAUUACUUAUUUGUAUUUUUUUGAUCCUUUAUUAUUGAUUUUAAGAUUAAAUUACCUUAGGGAUAACAGCGUAAA